Molecule: microRNA, 19 nt
Filed under: Equus caballus (horse)
Lineage: Eukaryota; Metazoa; Chordata; Mammalia; Perissodactyla; Equidae
Description: eca-miR-9088
Source: miRBase by way of RNAcentral
AUGCGCACACAGUCAACUG